Molecule: ribosomal RNA, 241 nt
Filed under: uncultured bacterium
Lineage: Bacteria
Description: partial 16S ribosomal RNA
Rfam family: Bacterial small subunit ribosomal RNA
Source: RNAcentral
UACGUAGGAGGCAAGCGUUGUCCGGAAUCACUGGGCGUAAAGCGCGUGUAGGCGGAUCGCUAAGUCUGUGGUGAAAGCGCCUGGCUUAACCGGGCGAGGUCCAUGGAAACUAGCGGUCUGGAGGCCGGUAGAGGGGGUGGAAUUCCGGGUGUAGUGGUGAAAUGCGUAGAUAGUCGGGAGGAACACCAGUGGCGAAGGCGACUACCUGGCCUGUUCUUGACGCUGAGGCGCGAAAGCUAGG